ACUCCUACGGGAGGCAGCAGUGGGGAAUUUUACGCAAUGGGGGAAACCCUGACGUAGCGACACCGCGUGAGCGAAGAAGCCCUUUGGGGUGUAAAGCUCUGUCAGCUGGAACGAAAACAAUGACGGUACCAGCAGAGGAAGCAUCGGCUAACUACGUGCCAGCAGCCGCGGUAAGACGUAGGAUGCGAGCGUUGUCCGGAUUUAUUGGGCGUAAAGAGUUCGUAGGUGGUUUGUUAAGUUUGGUGUUAAAGAUCGGGGCUCAACCCUGGGACUGCACUGAAUACUGGCAGACUCGAGUGUGGUAGAGGCUAGUGGAAUUCCCAGUGUAGCGGUGAAAUGCGUAGAUAUUGGGAAGAACACCGGUGGCGUAGGCGACUAGCUGGGCCAUAACUGACGCUGAGGAACGAAAGCCAGGGGAGCGAAUGGGAUUAGAAACCCGAGUAUCCCAUGAU
RNAcentral lists this ribosomal RNA (452 nucleotides) under uncultured organism. RNAcentral describes it as "partial 16S ribosomal RNA". It matches the Rfam family "Bacterial small subunit ribosomal RNA", at positions 335 to 801 of the family's 1533-position model. The record is from RNAcentral.